CUUUCAUGGAAACCAAUAGAAAAAUUUUAAGCAAAAUUAACACUCAAAGGUGUUCUGUAACCUUAACGGCAGAAGAUGAUGGCGUGACGAGCGAAUCCGGUAUAGUGUAAACGGGGCCUAAAUGAAUGUGGUAUCGUUUUAUUCUUGAAAUGAAAUGUAAUUAUAGUUCAAAGCUUUUACGUUUAACAUGCUGAGCGAACACAGUUCGAUUUUCCGCUUUGUCAUCUGUGAUCAAUAUUAUACUUGUAGUUUGUUUUCGC
Paramuricea clavata is the source of this 260-nucleotide non-coding RNA. The record is from the annotation of a GenBank genome assembly. Lineage: Eukaryota; Metazoa; Cnidaria; Anthozoa; Malacalcyonacea; Plexauridae.